RNAcentral lists this ribosomal RNA (375 nucleotides) under uncultured organism. Its description in RNAcentral is "partial 16S ribosomal RNA". It matches the Rfam family "Bacterial small subunit ribosomal RNA", at positions 527 to 896 of the family's 1533-position model. The record is from RNAcentral.
GUAGGUGGCAAGCGUUGUCCCGGAAUUAUUGGGCGUUAAAGCGCGCGCAGGGCGGUCCUUUAAGUCUGAUGUGAAAGCCCACGGCUCAACCGUGGAGGGUCAUUGGAAACUGGGGGACUUGAGUACAGAAGAGGAAAGCGGAAUUCCAAGUGUAGCGGUGAAAUGCGUAGAGAUUUGGAGGAACACCAGUGGCGAAGGCGGCUUUCUGGUCUGUAACUGACGCUGAGGCGCGAAAGCGUGGGGAGCAAACAGGAUUAGAUACCCUGGUAGUCCACGCCGUAAACGAUGAGUGCUAAGUGUUAGGGGGUUUCCGCCCCUUAGUGCUGCAGCUAACGCAUUAAGCACUCCGCCUGGGGAGUACGGCCGCAAAGGCUG